Molecule: ribosomal RNA, 460 nt
Filed under: uncultured bacterium
Lineage: Bacteria
Description: partial 16S ribosomal RNA
Rfam family: Bacterial small subunit ribosomal RNA
Source: RNAcentral
CCUACGGGAGGCAGCAGUGAGGAAUAUUGGUCAAUGGACGUGAGCCUGAACCAGCCAAGUCGCGUGAAGGAUGACUGCUCUAUGGGUUGUAAACUUCUUUUAUAAAGGAAUAAAGUGAGGCACGUGUGCCUUUUUGUAUGUACUUUAUGAAUAAGGAUCGGCUAACUCCGUGCCAGCAGCCGCGGUAAUACGGAGGAUCCGAGCGUUAUCCGGAUUUAUUGGGUUUAAAGGGGGCGUAGACGGGUUGUUAAGUCAGUUGUGAAAGUUUGUGGCUCAACCGUAAAAUUGCAGUUGAUACUGGCAGUCUUGAGUACAGUUGAGGUAGGCGGAAUGCGUGGUGUAGCGGUGAAAUGCUUAGAUAUCACGAAGAACCCCGAUUGCGAAGGCAGCCUGCUAAGCCAUGACUGACGUUGAUGCACGAAAGUGUGGGUAUCAAACAGGAUUAGAUACCCUGGUAGUC